GAGACAGUUCGGUCCCUAUCUGCUGUGGGCGUUGGAGAUUUGAAGGAAGCUGCUUCUAGUACGAGAGGACCGAAGUGGACGAACCCCUGGUGGGCCGGUUGUUGCGCCAGCAGCAUUGCCGGGUAGCUAUGUUCGGAAAGGAUAACCGCUGAAAGCAUAUAAGCGGGAAGCCUCACCUAAGAUGAGAUCUCCCUUGAGAGCCGUUGAAGACGACAACGUUGAUAGGCUAGAUGUGUAAGUCCUGUAAAGGAUUCAGCUUACUAGUACUAAUUGCUCGAUCGGCUUGAAUAA
RNAcentral lists this ribosomal RNA (291 nucleotides) under Luminiphilus sp. RNAcentral describes it as "partial 23S ribosomal RNA". It matches the Rfam family "Bacterial large subunit ribosomal RNA", at positions 2623 to 2925 of the family's 2925-position model. Lineage: Bacteria; Pseudomonadati; Pseudomonadota; Gammaproteobacteria; Cellvibrionales; Halieaceae. The record is from RNAcentral.